RNAcentral lists this ribosomal RNA (407 nucleotides) under uncultured bacterium. RNAcentral describes it as "partial 16S ribosomal RNA". It matches the Rfam family "Bacterial small subunit ribosomal RNA", at positions 28 to 526 of the family's 1533-position model. The record is from RNAcentral.
GACGAACGCUGGCGGCGUGCCUAAUACAUGCAAGUAGGACGCAGUUGCGAACGGGUGAGUAACGCGUAGGUAACUACCUAUUAGAGGGGGAUAACUAUUGGAAAAGAUAGCUAAUACCGCAUACUAGUAGAUGGACCUGCGUUGUAUUAGCUAGUAGGUAGGGUAAUGGCCUACCUAGGCAACGAUACAUAGCCGACUUGAGAAGGGGAUCGGACAAGCUGGGAGUGAGACACGACCCAGACACCUACGAGAGGCAGCAGUAGGGAAUCUUCGGCAAUGGGAGGAACCCUGACCGAGCAACGCCGCGAUAGUGAGGAAGAUUUUAGGAGCGUAAGGCGCUGUUGUUAAGGAAGCGGUACUUAACCAGAAAGGGACGGCUAACUACGUGCCAGCAGCCGCGGUAAUUC